CGAACACUGGUGUGUUCUCAAGUGCCAUGUCUAUCGUAAAAAGUUUUGUCAACGAUAUUCUUGAGAGAAUCGUCACAAAAGCUUCCCGUCUGCACCAAUUUGAAAAGAGAUCUAUCAUCACUUCACGGUAGAUCCAGACUGCAGUAGGUCUUCUCUUAACCUGAUAAAACGGUCAGGCACACCGUAGGAUAAGGUACCAACGCCGUAACAAAGUACACCAGCAACAAGUUAAUGUGUAGUAGUUAACAAAUUACCGAUUCAGGCGCGAUAUUUACAAUGCAAACCCUAUUGGAGUGAAGUUAACCUCCUAGGUUGAUAAAGUCAUUAUGGCUAUGAUUUGGCCCAUAAAGAUAGAUUUACUUGUAAGUUACUUUACAGAACAAUCAUAUUUUAUCUGUCUAGACUUUUCAACCCUAUAUCAAUUUGCUAAGCUAAGGAUAUUGUUUGAAAACAUGUGAUAAAAUCAUAACCUAAAAAUCUAUUUUAGUAGUUACCAAAUUACCGAUUCUGGUGCAAUAUUUACAAUGCAAACCCUAUGGGAGUGAAGUUCACCUCCUUGGUGUAUAAAGUCAUUAUGGCGGACGAGUUGCCCCAUAAAGAUAAAAGUAUCUGUAAGUUACUUUCACAGAAUCAAUAAUGUUCUUAUCUGUAGCUAGAGAAUUGUCAACCUUAUGCCAAUAUUUAGUACCCAUUGAUAUGUUUUCCAACAUUUUUGUUAUCGUGUUGACCAACGAAGGCUUAAAACAAAGAAAAACACUGAAGAGUAAAUACAAAUAUCUUUAUUCAAUUAAGUAAUAAGUUAGCUACACGUACCACUUCGUUGAUUUUAACGACAUUGACUGGCAGUUAUGCCCUCAUACCAUCCGCUAUAUGUCCCAACUGCAUGUGGUAAGCAUUAAAAUCCUGUUGGUGUCCAGAUGAAAAAAGUGGCAAGUUCGGUUUUAUUUAGAUAUAUUCAGUUUGUCACUAGGAGGUGAUCCAUCACGUCUGUUCGGCUGUAAAGACUGAGACAUGAUGGAAUUAACCAGUUAACGUAGUAGUUGUAGAUGUCGUAAACACGUCAAGGAGACCAAUUACUUGUAAAUCCAGGAAACUAGCUGGCCGGGUUUUAAACUUCAUCGACACUCAUCCAUUUUGAUCUACAGUAUGGGCACACACGGAGUCUGUUUCGCCAGCUCCUCAAACAGGCUGAAUGCACACCAUGACAGCAAUAUAUAUUGAUGGUGAUAUCCUGUGUUUGGUUAACUGUCGUCCGCCUCAUUGUUUCGGAAUGGUUUCUAGACAGAUAGGACACUCAGUAUUCUUUAUCAUGUUAGUACAUGUACCAGAAGGGCAAGACAUACACAUUGAUUCGGUUGAUACGUUAUCCAUGUUGUAUAUACUCUUCAUAGCAAAUCCGAUCCACCUUCGUCUGCAAAUUAAAACUGACUGCCACGAAAUAGAAAUGGGAAAACACUCUAAUAAUACAAAAAGUACGAACACUGGUGUGUUCUCAAGUGCCAUGUCUAUCGUAAAAAGUUUUUUCAACGAUAUUCUUGAGAGAAUCGUCACAAAAGCUUCCUGUCUCAAACAAUUUGACAAGACAUCUAUCAUCACUUCUCAGUAGAACCAGACUGCAGUAGGUCUGAUCUUAACCGAAGAAAUAGGCCAAGCACACCAUAGGUUAAGGUACCAAAGCCUUAGCAAAGUACACCAGCAACAAGUUAAUAUAGUAGUUGUAGUAGUUACCAAAUUACCGAUUCUGGUGCAAUAUUUACAAUGCAAACCCUAUGGGAGUGAAGUUCACCUCCUUGGUUGAUAAAGUCAUUAUGGCUAACGAUUUGCCACAUAAAGAUAGAUUUACUUGUAAGUUACUUUCACAGAAUCAAUCAUGUUUUAUCUGUAGCUAGAGAAUUGUCAACCUUAUGCCAAUAUUUAGUACCCAUUGAUAUGUUUUCCAACAUUUUUGUUAUCGUGUUGACCAACGAAGGCUUAAAACAAAGAAAAACACUGAAGAGUAAAUACAAAUAUCUUUAUUCAAUUAAGUAAUAAGUUAGCUACACGUACCACUUCGUUGAUUUUAACGACAUUGACUGGCAGUUAUGCCCUCAUACCAUCCGCUAUAUGUCCCAACUGCAUGUGGUAAGCAUUAAAAUCCUGUUGGUGUCCAGAUGAAAAAAGUGGCAAGUUCGGUUUUAUUUAGAUAUAUUCAGUUUGUCACUAGGAGGUGAUCCAUCACGUCUGUUCGGCUGUAAAGACUGAGACAUGAUGGAAUUAACCAGUUAACGUAGUAGUUGUAGAUGUCGUAAACACGUCAAGGAGACCAAUUACUUGUAAAUCCAGGAAACUAGCUGGCCGGGUUUUAAACUUCAUCGACACUCAUCCAUUUUGAUCUACAGUAUGGGCACACACGGAGUCUGUUUCGCCAGCUCCUCAAACAGGCUGAAUGCACACCAUGACAGCAAUAUAUAUUGAUGGUGAUAUCCUGUGUUUGGUUAACUGUCGUCCGCCUCAUUGUUUCGGGAAUGGUUUCUAGACAGAUAGGACACUCAGUAUUCUUUAUCAUGUUAGUACAUGUACCAGAAGGGCAAGACAUACACAUUGAUUCGGUUGAUACGUUAUCCAUGUUGUAUAUACUCUUCAUAGCAAAUCCGAUCCACCUUCGUCUGCAAAUUAAAACUGACUGCCACGAAAUAGAAAUGGGAAAACACUCUAAUAAUACAAAAAGUACGAACACUGGUGUGUUCUCAAGUGCCAUGUCUAUCGUAAAAAGUUUUGUCAACGAUAUUCUUGAGAGAAUCGUCACAAAAGCUUCCCGUCUGCACCAAAUUUUAAAGAGACCUAUCAUCACUUCAUGGUAGAUCCAGACUGCAGCAGGUCUUCUCUUAACCUGAGAAAACGGUCAGGCACACCGUAGGUUAAGGUACCAAAGCCGUAACAAAGUACACAGCAACAAGUUUUAUGUGUAGUAGUUACCAAAAAUUACCGAUUCUGGCGCAAUAUUUACAAUGCAAAACCCUAUUGGAGUGAAGUUAACCUCCUAGGUUGAUAAAGUCAUUAUGGCUAACGAUUUGCCACAUAAAGAUAGAUUUAUUUGUAAGUUACUUUCACAGAAUCAAUCAUGUUUUAUGUAGUAGUUACCAAAUUACCGAUUCUGGUGCAAUAUUUACAAUGCAAACCCUAUGGGAGUGAAGUUCACCUCCUUGGUGUAUAAAGUCAUUAUGGCGGACGAGUUGCCCCAUAAAGAUAAAAGUAUCUGUAAGUUACUUUCACAGAAUCAAUAAUGUUCUUAUCUGUAGCUAGAGAAUUGUCAACCUUAUGCCAAUAUUUAGUACCCAUUGAUAUGUUUUCCAACAUUUUUGUUAUCGUGUUGACCAACGAAGGCUUAAAACAAAGAAAAACACUGAAGAGUAAAUACAAAUAUCUUUAUUCAAUUAAGUAAUAAGUUAGCUACACGUACCACUUCGUUGAUUUUAACGACAUUGACUGGCAGUUAUGCCCUCAUACCAUCCGCUAUAUGUCCCAACUGCAUGUGGUAAGCAUUAAAAUCCUGUUGGUGUCCAGAUGAAAAAAGUGGCAAGUUCGGUUUUAUUUAGAUAUAUUCAGUUUGUCACUAGGAGGUGAUCCAUCACGUCUGUUCGGCUGUAAAGACUGAGACAUGAUGGAAUUAACCAGUUAACGUAGUAGUUGUAGAUGCCGUAAACACGCCAAGGAGACCAAUUACUUGUAAAUCCAGGAAACUAGCUGGCCGGGUUUUAAACUUCAUCGACACUCAUCCAUUUUGAUCUACAGUAUGGGCACACACGGAGUCUGUUUCGCCAGCUCCUCAAACAGGCUGAAUGCACACCAUGACAGCAAUAUAUAUUGAUGGUGAUAUCCUGUGUUUGGUUAACUGUCGUCCGCCUCAUUGUUUCGUGAAUGGUUUCUAGACAGAUAGGACACUCAGUAUUCUUUAUCAUGUUAGUACAUGUACCAGAAGGGCAAGACAUACACAUUGAUUCGGUUGAUACGUUAUCCAUGUUGUAUAUACUCUUCAUAGCAAAUCCGAUCCACCUUCGUCUGCAAAUUAAAACUGACUGCCACGAAAUAGAAAUGGGAAAACACUCUAAUAAUACAAAAAGUACGAACACUGGUGUGUUCUCAAGUGCCAUGUCUAUCGUAAAAAGUUUUGUCAACGAUAUUCUUGAGAGAAUCGUCACAAAAGCUUCCCGUCUGCACCAAAUUUUAAAGAGACCUAUCAUCACUUCAUGGUAGAUCCAGACUGCAGCAGGUCUUCUCUUAACCUGAGAAAACGGUCAGGCACACCGUAGGUUAAGGUACCAAAGCCGUAACAAAGUACACCAGCAACAAGUUAAUGUGUAGUAGUUACCAAAUUACCGAUUCUGGCGCAAUAUUUACAAUGCAAACCCUAUUGAAGUGAAGUUAACCUCCUAGGUUGAUAAAGUCAUUAUGGCUAACGAUUUGCCCC
RNAcentral lists this long non-coding RNA (4447 nucleotides) under Mytilus galloprovincialis (Mediterranean mussel). Lineage: Eukaryota; Metazoa; Mollusca; Bivalvia; Mytilida; Mytilidae. The record is from RNAcentral.